UAGAGUUUCUAAAUUAGCAACUUGCAACCUAUCCCCUCUCGUCGCCCCUUCACAGAAUUGGAUCAAAAUUAAUGGUAAACUAGCUUAAAAAAAGUUUGGCUUAUUUAUAUGAAGUCAAGCUGGUUAAUACAUAUAAUGAUGGUGAAGAAGGUAAAUGGCAAGGUCAUCUCUUUAUUUUGUGUGUCUAAAAUAUGAGGUUGUUGAGUGGAGUUUUUGAAGAGACAACAAAUUUGAAUUCCUACUAACAUAUAAUUCUACAUCAAGCCACUACCCAUAUUCAUUUCACACCCUUUUUCUCAAAAUGAAAAUUAUAGAGUUCUUAAAUUAGCAACUUGCAACCUAUCCCCUCUCGUCGCCCCUCCCCACCCCACAAUGGGAAUAAAAAAACAAGCAGCCUCAAUCGGAAGAUCCGGACAUCACAUUUGUCAUCAGUUUAACUGAACUAAAGUAGUAACAAUUUAGUCAAUGCAAAGAAAAUACAUACGUGCCAUUGAUUCAUCAGUCCCCAUCACCCCUUCUUUCAACAUAAACUUCACAACAAUGGUUAACAAGAACAAGAAAUCUCACAUACUUUUACAUAUUUUUGGAGAGGAGAAACAAGAAGAGCAACAUUUGCAAUUUUUAAAAGUACUAUGAAACAUACCUUAAUCGAUGCAAUCAACGAGUCAUUAUCGACCUUUUGCAGUGAAUAGGACAGAUAUGGAAGCAGCGAUUCGUUUGGGUAUUUGAUUUUUUCUUCCCUCUUUCUGAUUCGAUUGUAUGAGUAUUUGAUUUCUU
RNAcentral lists this long non-coding RNA (777 nucleotides) under Olea europaea (common olive). RNAcentral describes it as "long non-coding RNA (OEUR_LNC006166)". The record is from RNAcentral. Lineage: Eukaryota; Viridiplantae; Streptophyta; Magnoliopsida; Lamiales; Oleaceae.